AUGAACGCUGGCGGCGUGCCUAAUACAUGCAAGUCGAGCGAACAGACGAGGAGCUUGCUCCUCUGACGUUAGCGGCGGACGGGUGAGUAACACGUGGAUAACCUACCUAUAAGACUGGGAUAACUUCGGGAAACCGGAGCUAAUACCGGAUAAUAUAUUGAACCGCAUGGUUCAAUAGUGAAAGACGGUUUUGCUGUCACUUAUAGAUGGAUCCGCGCCGCAUUAGCUAGUUGGUAAGGUAACGGCUUACCAAGGCAACGAUGCGUAGCCGACCUGAGAGGGUGAUCGGCCACACUGGAACUGAGACACGGUCCAGACUCCUACGGGAGGCAGCAGUAGGGAAUCUUCCGCAAUGGGCGAAAGUCUGACGGAGCAACGCCGCGUGAGUGAUGAAGGUCUUCGGAUCGUAAAACUCUGUUAUUAGGGAAGAACAAAUGUGUAAGUAACUAUGCACGUCUUGACGGUACCUAAUCAGAAAGCCACGGCUAACUACGUG
This 496-nucleotide ribosomal RNA is filed under the name uncultured bacterium. RNAcentral's name for it is "partial 16S ribosomal RNA". It matches the Rfam family "Bacterial small subunit ribosomal RNA", at positions 29 to 507 of the family's 1533-position model. The record is from RNAcentral.